This 468-nucleotide ribosomal RNA is filed under the name uncultured bacterium. RNAcentral describes it as "bacterial SSU rRNA". It matches the Rfam family "Bacterial small subunit ribosomal RNA", at positions 28 to 507 of the family's 1533-position model. The record is from RNAcentral.
GAUGAACGCUAGCGGCAGGCUUAACACAUGCAAGUCGAGGGGCAGCGGGAUGUAGCAAUACAUUGCCGGCGACCGGCGCAAGGGUGCGUAACGCGUGAGCAACAUGCCCGUCACAGGAGGAUAAACCAUGGAAACGUGGUCUAAUACUCCAUAGUAUGUUUUGGAGGCAUCUCUAGGACAUUAAAGCUUCGGUGGUGACGGAUUGGCUCGCGUGACAUUAGCUAGAUGGAGAGGUAACGGCUCACCAUGGCGACGAUGUCUAGGGGAACUGAGAGGUUAAUCCCCCACACUGGUACUGAGACACGGCCCAGACUCCUACGGGAGGCAGCAGUGGGGAAUAUUGGGCAAUGGGCGCAAGCCUGACCCAGCAACGCCGCGUGAAGGAAGAAGGCUUUCGGGUUGUAAACUUCUUUUGUCAGGGACGAAUAAAUGACGGUACCUGACGAAUAAGCCACGGCUAACUACGUG